AUUGAACGCUGGCGGCAGGCCUAACACAUGCAAGUCGAACGGUAACAGGAAGAAGCUUGCUUCUUUGCUGACGAGUGGCGGACGGGUGAGUAAUGUCUGGGAAACUGCCUGAUGGAGGGGGAUAACUACUGGAAACGGUAGCUAAUACCGCAUAAUGUCGCAAGACCAAAGAGGGGGACCUUCGGGCCUCUUGCCAUCGGAUGUGCCCAGAUGGGAUUAGCUAGUAGGUGGGGUAACGGCUCACCUAGGCGACGAUCCCUAGCUGGUCUGAGAGGAUGACCAGCCACACUGGAACUGAGACACGGUCCAGACUCCUACGGGAGGCAGCAGUGGGGAAUAUUGCACAAUGGGCGCAAGCCUGAUGCAGCUAUGCCGCGUGUAUGAAGAAGGCCUUCGGGUUGUAAAGUACUUUCAGCGGGGAGGAAGGGAGUAAAGUUAAUACCUUUGUUCAUUGACGUUACCCGCAGAAGAAGCACCGGCUAACUCCGUG
This 490-nucleotide ribosomal RNA is filed under the name uncultured bacterium. RNAcentral describes it as "partial 16S ribosomal RNA". It matches the Rfam family "Bacterial small subunit ribosomal RNA", at positions 30 to 507 of the family's 1533-position model. The record is from RNAcentral.